RNAcentral lists this ribosomal RNA (253 nucleotides) under uncultured bacterium. RNAcentral describes it as "partial 16S ribosomal RNA". It matches the Rfam family "Bacterial small subunit ribosomal RNA", at positions 524 to 776 of the family's 1533-position model. The record is from RNAcentral.
UACGAAGGGUGCAAGCGUUGCUCGGAAUUAUUGGGCGUAAAGGGUUGGUAGGUGGUCUUGUUUGUCUAAGGUGAAAUCCCAUGGCUUAACUGUGGAAGUGCCUUAGAAACGGCAAGACUAGAGUCCUAGAGGGGUUUGUGGAAUUCCCGGUGUAGCGGUGAAAUGCGUAGAUAUCAUGAGGAAUACCAGAGGCGAAGGCGGCUACCUGGACAAUUGCUGACGCUCAGGCACGAAAGCGUGGGGAGCAAAAGGG